CGGCAGCACAGCAGUAGCAAUACUGUGGGUGGCGAGUGGCGGACGGGUGAGGAAUACAUCGGGAUCUACCUUUUCGUGGGGGAUAACGUAGGGAAACUUACGCUAAUACCGCAUACGCCCUACGGGGGAAAGCGGCGGACCGCAAGGCGUCGCGCGAUGAGAUGAACCGAUGUCCGAUUAGCUAGUUGGCGGGGUAAAGGCCCACCAAGGCGACGAUCGGUAGCUGAUCUGAGAGGAUGAUCAGCCACACUGGAACUGAGACACGGUCCAGACUCCUACGGGAGGCAGCAGUGGGGAAUAUUGGACAAUGGGCGCAAGCCUGAUCCAGCCAUGCCGCGUGGGUGAAGAAGGCCUUCGGGUUGUAAAGCCCUUUUGUCCGGAAAGAAAAGCACGGGAUUAAUACCCUCGUGUGAUGACGGUACCGGAAGAAUAAGCACCGGCUAACUUCGUGCCAGCAGCCGCGGUAAUACGAAGGGUGCAAGCGUUACUCGGAAUUACUGGGCGUAAAGCGUGCGUAGGUGGU
RNAcentral lists this ribosomal RNA (523 nucleotides) under uncultured bacterium. RNAcentral's name for it is "bacterial SSU rRNA". It matches the Rfam family "Bacterial small subunit ribosomal RNA", at positions 67 to 579 of the family's 1533-position model. The record is from RNAcentral.